AUGACAGGGGAAAGCACACAAAAGAUGAUUGUGCAAUGGUGCAACCUAAUAGAAAAGGGUGACGGCCACCAAGCCAAGAUAGACAUGGGGUGCUACGCUGAAGAGUUGACUCUAGGAGUCAUCGAACGGGUGAUCUUCGGCGCGCACUACAAAGAAGCCCGGGAGGUGUUCGCCGAGGGCAAGGAGAUCAAGAAGCUCGUGGUGCAUGCGCUUGCAGAUCCUCGAAUACCCGGAUUUAGGUCGAUAACGAGCAAGAUAACACGGCUCAUAAAGGAGCGGCUUGCCAGUGGUGUCGACGGAGAUGACCUAAUCGGGUUGAUGCUGCGGGCAAACAAGUCAGAAGAAGUCGAGUCAUUGAGCAGCGAUGAUAUGAUCAGUGAGUGCAAGACCAUCUUCGCCGCAGGGCAGGACACAGGUGCCACCCUCCUCACCUGGGGGAUGUUCUUGCUCACCAUCUACCCAGAAUGGAAAGAGAGGCUCAGGGAGGAAGUGCUGAGAGAAUGCAGGGAUGAUGAUGGCGAAGCCCCCUAUAUCAAUAGCAUCAAAGUCCUUGGCAAACUCAAGCUACUUAACAUGUUCCUUCUUGAGACACUGAGGCUCUACAGUCUCCUGCCGUUCUUGCUGAGGAAGACCGCGUCUGACACAACAUUAGCAAACAUCAAAUUUCGAAAAGGAACCAUGAUAACAAUUCCGGUCAUGACGUUGCACCGGAGCAAGGAGAUUUGGGGCCUCGACGCCGACGAGUUCAACCCCAUGAGGUUUGAGAAAGGCGUCUUGGGGGCUGCCAACAACACGUAUGCAAUGUUGGCCUUCUCAUGCGGGCCACGUGGGUGCCCAGGGAGGAACUAUACCAUGAUCGAGGUGCAGACUGUGAUGACGAUGAUCCUGAGAAGAUUCUCCUUCUCCCUCUCUUCCCAGUAUGUUCACAUGCCCAGGAACUUCAUCUCACUUGCACCUAGGUAUGGCCUUCCCCUAAUCGUGAGGAAACUGAUGGAUGGAGAAAAAAAGUGA
RNAcentral lists this ribosomal RNA (1011 nucleotides) under Triticum aestivum (bread wheat). RNAcentral's name for it is "partial small subunit ribosomal RNA". The record is from RNAcentral. Lineage: Eukaryota; Viridiplantae; Streptophyta; Magnoliopsida; Poales; Poaceae.